Molecule: ribosomal RNA, 427 nt
Filed under: uncultured Brevibacillus sp.
Lineage: Bacteria; Bacillati; Bacillota; Bacilli; Caryophanales; Paenibacillaceae
Description: bacterial SSU rRNA
Rfam family: Bacterial small subunit ribosomal RNA
Source: RNAcentral
UAGGGAAUUUUCCACAAUGGACGAAAGUCUGAUGGAGCAACGCCGCGUGAACGAUGAAGGUCUUCGGAUUGUAAAGUUCUGUUGUCAGGGACGAAUAAGUACCGUUCGAACAGGGCGGUACCUUGACGGUACCUGACGAGAAAGCCACGGCUAACUACGUGCCAGCAGCCGCGGUAAUACGUAGGUGGCAAGCGUUGUCCGGAAUUAUUGGGCGUAAAGCGCGCGCAGGCGGCUAUGUAAGUCUGGUGUUAAAGCCCGGGGCUCAACCCCGGUUCGCAUCGGAAACUGUGUAGCUUGAGUGCAGAAGAGGAAAGCGGUAUUCCACGUGUAGCGGUGAAAUGCGUAGAGAUGUGGAGGAACACCAGUGGCGAAGGCGGCUUUCUGGUCUGUAACUGACGCUGAGGCGCGAAAGCGUGGGGAGCAAACA